GGGCCGGUGAUGUAACUGGUAACAUAUCACUCUUGGCAGGUGACAUUCGGGGUUCGAUCCCCGGCCGGGUCA
This 72-nucleotide transfer RNA is filed under the name Candidatus Magasanikbacteria bacterium RIFOXYD2_FULL_41_14. Its description in RNAcentral is "tRNA-Pro". It matches the Rfam family "tRNA". Rfam says of the family: Transfer RNA (tRNA) molecules are approximately 80 nucleotides in length. Their secondary structure includes four short double-helical elements and three loops (D, anti-codon, and T loops). Further hydrogen bonds mediate the characteristic L-shaped molecular structure. tRNAs have two regions of fundamental functional importance: the anti-codon, which is responsible for specific mRNA codon recognition, and the 3' end, to which the tRNAs corresponding amino acid is attached (by aminoacyl-tRNA synthetases). tRNAs cope with the degeneracy of the genetic code in two manners: having more than one tRNA (with a specific anti-codon) for a particular amino acid; and 'wobble' base-pairing, i.e. permitting non-standard base-pairing at the 3rd anti-codon position. The record is from RNAcentral. Lineage: Bacteria; Candidatus Magasanikiibacteriota.